Long non-coding RNA from Ictalurus punctatus (channel catfish), 809 nucleotides. RefSeq lists it as uncharacterized. The transcript is spliced from 3 exons. The record is from RefSeq and is a predicted model, not a curated record. Lineage: Eukaryota; Metazoa; Chordata; Actinopteri; Siluriformes; Ictaluridae.
UGGUCAGCACUUAUAUAACGCUUUUUAACCAGUUUUGCAAAGUGCUUUACACUGUUUCCCAUUCAAUGAUUCACACACACACACACACACACACACACACACACACACACACACACACACACACACACACACACACACACACACACACCAAUGGUAGCAGAACUACCAUGCAAGGCACUAGACUGCCAUCAGGAGCAACUUGGGUUCAGUGUCUUUCCCCAAGGACACUUCAGCAUGUGGAGGGGCCGAGGAACAAACCACCAACCCUGAGAUUAGUGGACAACCCGCUCUACCACCUGAGUCACAGCCACUCCAAGGAAUUCUGUCUAUCCACAAUUGAAAGGCAAAAGAAGAGAGACGUCAACUGUGGACUGAACAGAUGACCUUGUGAUGGUGUGCACAGCAGACAGUUUCAGAUUGUUUAAUCAUUGAUAAGAGAAUCACCAUGCUUUGAGGUCAGAGCAUGAAACUGAGUGUGCGUACUCCUGCUGCCUGAUGUGAUGCAAUGCUGAUUCAUCCUGAUGGAAAAUGAAUGUCCAUAAUGCCAUCUUUAUAUGUUAGUCAAUAAUACAUUGUCAUUAUUCUAAUACAGUGUAAUACAGUGUCAUAAUACAGUGUUAUGAACAUGUCACUCGGAUGCAGAUAUGCAGCCUGUCCUGCUGUGUGUCCAUUGGAGUGGAUUUCCGUCUGGACUCUCUUAAGUUGUGGGACGUGAGCAGUGGAAUUUCUGAUCUCAGUGUGCACAGUUUUGCAGGUGAAUUGAAUUUCAUAUGAUACUUUACUUUCUGCAACACACAGUGUUGAUCAUU